Molecule: unclassified non-coding RNA, 329 nt
Filed under: soil metagenome
Description: partial contains 5.8S ribosomal RNA, internal transcribed spacer 2, and large subunit ribosomal RNA
Rfam family: 5.8S ribosomal RNA (bases 1-120)
Source: RNAcentral
GAUGAAGAACGUAGCGAAAUGCGAUAAGUAAUGUGAAUUGCAGAAUUCAGUGAAUCAUCGAAUCUUUGAACGCACAUUGCGCCCCCUGGUAUUCCGGGGGGCAUGCCUGUCCGAGCGUCAUUACAACCCUCAAGCUCAGCUUGGUAUUGGGCCCCGCCGACCCGGCGGGCCCUAAAGUCAGUGGCGGUGCCGUCCGGCUCCGAGCGUAGUAAUUCUUCUCGCUCUGGAGGUCCGGUCGUGUGCUCGCCAGCAACCCCCAGUUUUUUUCAGGUUGACCUCGGAUCAGGUAGGGAUACCCGCUGAACUUAAGCAUAUCAAUAAGCGGAGGA